RNAcentral lists this ribosomal RNA (1401 nucleotides) under uncultured bacterium. Its description in RNAcentral is "partial 16S ribosomal RNA". It matches the Rfam family "Bacterial small subunit ribosomal RNA". The record is from RNAcentral.
UUAGAGUUUGAUCCUGGCUCAGGAUGAACGCUAUCGACAGGCUUAACACAUGCAAGUCGAGGGGCAGCGUGAGUGUAGCAAUACACUUGACGGCGACCGGCGCACUGGUGAGUAACACGUAUGCGACCUGCCCCCUACAGGGGAAUAACCCGGAGAAAUCCGGCCUAAUGCCCCAUAGUCCGUUUCCCUGCAUGGGGAGACGGGGAAAGGUGAGCCGGUAGGGGAUGGGCAUGCGGCGCAUUAGCUAGUUGGCGGGGCAACGGCCCACCAAGGCGACGAUGCGUAGGGGUUCUGAGAGGAAGGUCCCCCACAUUGGUACUGAGACACGGACCAAACUCCUACGGGAGACAGCAGUGAGGAAUAUUGGUCAAUGGGCGGGAGCCUGAACCAGCCAAGUCGCGUGAGGGAAGAAGGUCCUACGGAUUGUAAACCUCUUUUGCCGGGGAGUAUCGGGUCGGACGUGUCCGGCCGUGAGAGUACCCGGAGAAAAAGCAUCGGCUAACUCCGUGCCAGCAGCCGCGGUAAUACGGAGGAUGCGAGCGUUAUCCGGAUUUAUUGGGUUUAAAGGGUGCGCAGGCGGCGCGUCAAGUCAGCGGUCAAAGUUCCGGGCUCAACCCGGUGAUGCCGUUGAAACUGGCGUGCUCGAGUACGCGGGAGGAACGCGGAAUGCGUGGUGUAGCGGUGAAAUGCGUAGAUAUUAGGAGGAACACCGGUGGCGAAGGCGGCUUACUGGACGAUGACUGACGCUGAGGCUCGAAAGCGUGGGGAGCAAACAGGAUUAGAUACCCUGGUAGUCCACGCUGUAAACGAUGAAUACUAGGUGUUGGCACGCAUAGCGUGUCGGUGCCGCCGCAAACGCAUUAAGUAUUCCACCUGGGGAGUACGUUCGCAAGAAUGAAACUCAAAGGAAUUGACGGGGACCCGCACAAGCGGUGGAGCAUGUGGUUUAAUUCGAAGCAACGCGAAGAACCUUACCAAGUCUUGACAUCCCGGUGACCGGCACGUAACGGUGCCUUUUCUUUGGAACACCGGUGACAGGUGGUGCAUGGUUGUCGUCAGCUCGUGUCGUGAGAUGUUGGGUUAAGUCCCGCAACGAGCGCAACCCUUAUCUUCAGUAGCCAGCGGUAUGGCCGGGCACUCUGGAGAGACUGCCAGGGAUAACCUGGAGGAAGGCGGGGAUGACGUCAAAUCAUCAUGCCCCUUAUGACUUGGGCUACACACGUGCUACAAUGGCGUAAACAAAGGGAAGCAGAGCCGCGAGGCCGAGCAAAUCUCAAAAAUAACGUCCCAGUUCAGACUGUAGUCUGCAACCCGACUACACGAAGCUGGAAUCGCUAGUAAUCGCAGAUCAGAACUGCUGCGGUGAAUACGUUCCCGGCUCUUCCACACACCGCCCCUCAA